Oncorhynchus gorbuscha (pink salmon) is the source of this 1731-nucleotide long non-coding RNA. RefSeq lists it as uncharacterized. The record is from RefSeq and is a predicted model, not a curated record. NCBI's taxonomy places the organism in Eukaryota, Metazoa, Chordata, Actinopteri, Salmoniformes, Salmonidae. The transcript is spliced from 3 exons.
UUGUCUCAACGACAGGGGAACCCAGAGAAGUUGUACCCAUGUACGUUUUAUUCUAAGAAACUGUCCCCUGCAGAGAGGAGCUAUGACGUCGGUGAUCGGGACCUCCUGGUGGUGAAGUUGGCAUUAGAGGAGUAUAGACACUGGCUUGAAGGCGCCAAGGAACCAUUCAUCAUCCUCACCGACCACAGGAAGCUGGAGUACAUUAGGAAAAGCGAGGAGGCUGAAUCCGCACCAAGUAAGGUGGCCGCUUUUCUUCACAAGGUUUAACUUCACGCUAACCUAUCGCUCAAAGAACACAAAGGCCGAUGCAUUGUCCCGCCUCUACGAUUCGGGAGAGGGCCCUGUCCUGAGUGAGCCAAAAAUCCCAUCCUCACGAGUCGUAGCUCCUGUGGUCUGGAACGGAGAUGUGGAGAUCCACCAGGCUCUGGAGAGUGAGCCCGCACCCCUGAACUGUCCUCCUGUACGCAUCUACGUUCCCACAGGGAUAAGGGAUCGGCUGCUGAUCUGGGCACACACAGCUGUCUCAGGACAUCCAGGUAUUUCUCACUCCAUUGCUGAGAAGUACUGGUGGCCCACGAUGGUGCAGGAUGUCAGUCGAUAUGUCAACUCCUGUUCCGUAUGUGCCUAAAAAAGUCUCCGCGGAAUGCCCCAGCAGGGAAGCUCCUACCAUUUCCCAUGCCUCAGCGACCUUGGUCUCAUCUAUCCAUUGACUUUGUAACCAAUCUCCCCUCCUCUGACAGGUUUCACCACCAUUCUUUGUGGCAGUGGAUAGAUUUUCUAAGUCAUGUCAUUUAGUUCCUCUUCCUGGUCUCCCCACUGCUCUCCAGAUUGCUGAGGCACUCGUCCAGCAGGUCUUCCAGCAUUAUGGCCUUCCGGAGGACAUUGUCUCUGACCGUGGCCUCCAAUUCAAAUCAGUUUGACGGCCUUCAUGGAGAAGCUCGGGGUCACGGUCAGCCUCACUUCCGGGUACCAGCCUCAGUCCAAUGGGCAGGUGGAGAGGAUGAACCAGGAGGUUCCUGAGGAGUCACUGUCUGGACCGGCAAGAUGGCCCUGGCUCCGUGGACUCCGGACCAGACCGAGGCUGCUGCGGUUGAGUGGUUCCGGCAUGCAGAACAAGUGUGGAGCGACGCUCACGUGAGACUCCAUCGUCGAAAAGAACAGGCAGACCGCCACCACAGUGAGACCCCUGUGUUCUAUCCUGGGGAUUGCGUCUGGCUCUUUACCAGGAACUUCACACUCUGCCUGCCCUGCAAGAAACGGAGCCCCCGAUUUGUGGGCCGGUGGUUCCUGGUCCCCUAACUGAUGCAGUCCCCCACGACACCCCACCACCCCCCCCCUGGACAUCGAGGGCAGUCCGGCGUAUGCUGUCAGAUUUCUGCUGGACACCCGGCGUCGUGGGGGGGUCGGCUCCAGUAUCUGGUAGACUGGAUGGGGUACGGCCCUUAGGAGCGGUGUUGGGACAUUCUGGAUCCCAACAUCAUCCGUGAUUUCCCAGGGUCCGUGCAUCAGAGGGGGGGUUACUUUCACAUCUGCUCCUCCCCUCCGGCGGGCGACAUUACCGGAAUACUAACCACUGGUCCUGGGACUCAUCAUGAUUCACACCUGGACCUCAUUACUUCCCCUUAUAGGUCCCUUCCUUUUGUUCAUUCCUCAGUUGGUAUUGAUCCUGGUUUAUGCGAUCUCGUCUUGUUUCAUGUUUUUCAUUUCAUUAAACUUUUCACCUGCACCUCC